This is a small nuclear RNA of Erinaceus europaeus (western European hedgehog), 110 nucleotides long. Lineage: Eukaryota; Metazoa; Chordata; Mammalia; Eulipotyphla; Erinaceidae. The record is from Ensembl.
GUGCUCGCUUUGGCAGCAGAUAUACUAUAAUUGGAACGGUGCAGAGAAGAUUAGCAUGGCCCCUGCACAAGGAGGAUGACUCGCUAAUUCAUGAAGCGUUCCAUGUAUUU